GCCCUUAGAGUUUGAUCAUGGCUCAGAACGAACGCUGGCGGCAGGCCUAACACAUGCAAGUCGAGCGCGCCUUUCGGGGCGAGCGGCGGACGGGUGAGUAACGCGUGGGAACGUGCCCUUCGGUGCGGAAUAUACCAGGGAAACUUGGGGCAAUACCGCAUACGGUCUACGGACGAAAGAUUUAUCGCCGAGGGAUCGGCCCGCGUUGGAUUAGGUAGUUGGUGGGGUAACGGCCUACCAAGCCGACGAUCCAUAGCUGGUUUGAGAGGAUGAUCAGCCACACUGGGACUGAGACACGGCCCAGACUCCUACGGGAGGCAGCAGUGGGGAAUCUUGGACAAUGGGGGAAACCCUGAUCCAGCCAUGCCGCGUGAGCGAUGAAGGCCUUAGGGUUGUAAAGCUCUUUCGCUGGGGAAGAUAAUGACGGUACCCAGUAAAGAAGCCCCGGCUAACUCCGUGCCAGCAGCCGCGGUAAUACGGAGGGGGCUAGCGUUGUUCGGAAUUACUGGGCGUAAAGCGCGCGUAGGCGGACUGGAAAGUUGGGGGUGAAAUCCCGGGGCUCAACCCCGGAACUGCCUCCAAAACUGUCAGUCUUGAGGUCGAGAGAGGUGAGUGGAAUUCCGAGUGUAGAGGUGAAAUUCGUAGAUAUUCGGAGGAACACCA
This 663-nucleotide ribosomal RNA is filed under the name uncultured Alphaproteobacteria bacterium. Its description in RNAcentral is "bacterial SSU rRNA". It matches the Rfam family "Bacterial small subunit ribosomal RNA", at positions 1 to 711 of the family's 1533-position model. The record is from RNAcentral. Lineage: Bacteria; Pseudomonadati; Pseudomonadota; Alphaproteobacteria.